AGGUUAAGUUAGGAAGGGCGCAUGGUGGAUGCCUUGGUACUAGGAGCCGAUGAAGGACGGGACUAACACCGAUAUGCCUCGGGGAGCUGUAAGUAAGCUUUGAUCCGGGGAUUUCCGAAUGGGGCAACCCAAUAGUUUUAAUCGACUAUUAUCCGCAUCUGAAUUCAUAGGAUGUGUGAAGGUAAACGUGGGGAACUGAAACAUCUCAGUACCCACAGGAACAGAAAGAAAAUUCGAUUCCCUGAGUAGCGGCGAGCGAAACGGGAACAGCCCAAACCAAGAAGCUUGCUUCUUGGGGUUGUAGGACUGAACAUUUGAGUUACCAAAGAGCUUGAUAGCUGAAGGGCCUGGGAAGGCCAGCCAGAGAGGGUGACAGCCCCGUAAGUUAAAUCAAACUCCCUCAGUUCAGGAUCCUGAGUACGGCGGAGCACGUGAAAUUCCGUCGGAAUCCGGGAGGACCAUCUCCCAAGGCUAAAUACUACCUAGUGACCGAUAGUGAACCAGUACCGUGAGG
This 514-nucleotide ribosomal RNA is filed under the name Pediococcus acidilactici MA18/5M. RNAcentral describes it as "bacterial LSU rRNA". It matches the Rfam family "Bacterial large subunit ribosomal RNA", at positions 1 to 508 of the family's 2925-position model. Lineage: Bacteria; Bacillati; Bacillota; Bacilli; Lactobacillales; Lactobacillaceae. The record is from RNAcentral.